This 439-nucleotide ribosomal RNA is filed under the name uncultured bacterium. RNAcentral's name for it is "partial 16S ribosomal RNA". It matches the Rfam family "Bacterial small subunit ribosomal RNA", at positions 339 to 795 of the family's 1533-position model. The record is from RNAcentral.
CUACGGGCGGCUGCAGUGGGGGAUAUUGCACAAUGGGCGAAAGCCUGAUGCAGCAACGCCGCGUGAAGGAAGACGGAUUUCGGUCUGUAAACUUCUAUCAGCUGGGAAGAAAAUGACGGUACCAGACUAAGAAGCCCCGGCUAACUACGUGCCAGCAGCCGCGGUAAUACGUAGGGGGCAAGCGUUAUCCGGAUUUACUGGGUGUAAAGGGUACGUAGGCGGUCGCUUAAGUCAGAUGUGAAAGCCCGAAGCUCAACUUCGGGACUGCAUUUGAAACUGGGUGACUAGAGUACAGGAGAGGAAAGCGGAAUUCCUAGUGUAGCGGUGAAAUGCGUAGAUAUUAGGAAGAACACCAGUGGCGAAGGCGGCUUUCUGGACUGUAACUGACGCUGAGGUACGAAAGCGUGGGGAGCGAACAGGAUUAGAUACCCUUGUAGUC